UAGCCUUUAUUAGGGCACGCAAAGAAAACGCAGCUUUAUAUCGUUAAACCCAGCUUUAGUAUUGAAAGAUAAAUCAAUGUCAUAAUUGACAACUAAUUUAAUCUAUAACCUCAAUUCAAAAAAAAUAAAUACUAAGACAGUAAUGCUCUAAUACUUAAAUUAUAAUUAUGAAAUUUAAAAUUAUGAGAAAGAAAAUAAAGUAAAAUUUAGCACUUAAUACUUAUUCAAUUGUACAUCUGAUAAUACCUCGCAUAUACGUAUAUACUCAGUUCCCAAUUUCAAAUCAAAUCAGUGAUGGUGAUUAUAUAAACAAUUUUGCUAAAUUGAAUUUAAAAUCUGUGAUCAUUUCUACAUAUUAAUUAAAAAAAAAAUAAUCUAUAAAUUGCGACGAACCGAUAAAUCAAUACCUGGAGAAACCAAGCCAAAAAGAAAAAGGGACUACCUGAAAUUCUGAGUAUCUCCGACUGGUAGCAGGGCCCACCUGAUCUGAAUGGGGCUCCUUUGUUGGCAACUAUACGUUUGGGUCAAAAGAGGCAGCAGCAGAUCGACCAGUUAGGAUGCUUCCAGAAUGUCUAGCAGGUAGUGGAGGGCAAUCGGUAUUAGGUGUAGCCGAUUGGAAGGAAUGCAGGUUCCGGAGGUGAUGAUCCAAGUGACUUGAUGUGGUAACACGUGGAGUAGCAAGUGAGGUGGAAGCAGUAACAAUAAAAAUGCAGCAAAAGCAGAAGCAGAGGAUAAGCAGAAGGUACAGGAAGGCCUAAAAAUGGGGACCACACAUGAGGUUCGACAUGGCUGUCAAUUUUAUGGCAUUUUUGUGUGGAUCGGGUAUGUUAGGAGGGACCAUCUUAACGGUAUAUCAUAUCUGUGUAGUAUGUAUAUUUAUGUAUGAUUUUUAAAUAAAUUAUUUUAUGAAACUA
Molecule: long non-coding RNA, 914 nt
Filed under: Anthonomus grandis grandis
Lineage: Eukaryota; Metazoa; Arthropoda; Insecta; Coleoptera; Curculionidae
Description: uncharacterized LOC126738312
Source: RNAcentral